UACAGAGGUCUCGAGCGUUGUUCGGAUUCAUUGGGCGUAAAGGGCGCGUAGGCGGCGGGGUAAGUCUGGUGUGAAAUCUAGGAGCUCAACUCCUAAACUGCACUGGAUACUGCUCUGCUAGAGGACUGGAGAGGAGACUGGAAUUCACGGUGUAGCAGUGAAAUGCGUAGAUAUCGUGAGGAAGACCAGUGGCGAAGGCGGGUCUCUGGACAGUUCCUGACGCUGAGGAGCGAAGGCCAGGGGAGCAAACGGG
RNAcentral lists this ribosomal RNA (253 nucleotides) under uncultured bacterium. Its description in RNAcentral is "partial 16S ribosomal RNA". It matches the Rfam family "Bacterial small subunit ribosomal RNA", at positions 524 to 776 of the family's 1533-position model. The record is from RNAcentral.